UCGACCUCAGAUCAAGCGAGAUUACCCGCUGAAUUUAAGCAUAUAACUAAGCGGAGGAAAAGAAACCAAACG
RNAcentral lists this ribosomal RNA (72 nucleotides) under Otodectes cynotis (ear mite). RNAcentral's name for it is "partial 28S ribosomal RNA". It matches the Rfam family "Eukaryotic large subunit ribosomal RNA", at positions 1 to 71 of the family's 3401-position model. Lineage: Eukaryota; Metazoa; Arthropoda; Arachnida; Sarcoptiformes; Psoroptidae. The record is from RNAcentral.